CUGGGAACUGCAUUCGAAACUGGCAGGCUAGAGUCUUGUAGAGGGGGGKAGAAUUCCAGGUGUAGCGGUGAAAUGCGUAGAGAUCUGGAGGAAUACCGGUGGCGAAGGCGGCCCCCUGGACAAAGACUGACGCUCAGGCGCGAAAGCGUGGGGAGCAAACAGGAUUAGAUACCCUGGUAGUCCACGCCGKAAACGAUGUCGACUUGGAGGUUGUGCCCUUGAGGCGUGGCUUCCGGAGCUAACGCGUUAAGUCGACCGCCUGGGGAGUACGGCCGCAAGGUUAAAACUCRAAUGAAUUGACGGGGGCCCGCACAAGCGGUGGAGCAUGUGGUUUAAUUCGAUGCAACGCGAAGAACCUUACCUACUCUUGACAUCCAGAGAACUUUSCAGAGAUGGAUUGGUGCCUUCGGGAACUCUGAGACAGGUGCUGCAUGGCUGUCGUCAGCUCGUGUUGUGAAAUGUUGGGUUAAGUCCCGCAACGAGCGCAACCCUUAUCCUUUGUUGCCAGCGGUCCGGCCGGGAACUCAAAGGAGACUGCCAGUGAUAAACUGGA
This 553-nucleotide ribosomal RNA is filed under the name uncultured bacterium. Its description in RNAcentral is "bacterial SSU rRNA". It matches the Rfam family "Bacterial small subunit ribosomal RNA", at positions 614 to 1167 of the family's 1533-position model. The record is from RNAcentral.